Molecule: ribosomal RNA, 1119 nt
Filed under: uncultured Prochlorococcus sp.
Lineage: Bacteria; Bacillati; Cyanobacteriota; Cyanophyceae; Synechococcales; Prochlorococcaceae
Description: bacterial SSU rRNA
Rfam family: Bacterial small subunit ribosomal RNA
Source: RNAcentral
CACAUGCAAGUCGAACGAACCUUCGGGUUAGUGGCGGACGGGUGAGUAACGCGUGAGAAUCUGCCCUCAGGAGGGGGAUAACGGUUGGAAACGACCGCUAAUACCCCAUAUGCCUACUGGUGAAAUGAAUUUCGCCUGAGGAUGAGCUCGCGUCUGAUUAGCUAGUUGGUGAGGUAAUGGCUCACCAAGGCUUCGAUCAGUAGCUGGUCUGAGAGGAUGAUCAGCCACACUGGGACUGAGACACGGCCCAGACUCCUACGGGAGGCAGCAGUGGGGAAUUUUCCGCAAUGGGCGAAAGCCUGACGGAGCAACGCCGCGUGAGGGACGAAGGCCUCUGGGCUGUAAACCUCUUUUCUCAAGGAAGAAGAUAUGACGGUACUUGAGGAAUAAGCCACGGCUAAUUCCGUGCCAGCAGCCGCGGUAAUACGGGAGUGGCAAGCGUUAUCCGGAAUUAUUGGGCGUAAAGCGUCCGCAGGCGGCCUUUCAAGUCUGCUGUUAAAACGUGGAGCUUAACUCCAUCAUGGCAGUGGAAACUGAUUGGCUUGAGUAUGGUAGGGGCAGAGGGAAUUCCCGGUGUAGCGGUGAAAUGCGUAGAUAUCGGGAAGAACACCAGUGGCGAAGGCGCUCUGCUGGGCCAUUACUGACGCUCAUGGACGAAAGCCAGGGGAGCGAAAGGGAUUAGAUACCCCUGUAGUCCUGGCCGUAAACGAUGAACACUAGGUGUCGGGGGAAUCGACCCCUUCGGUGUCGUAGCUAACGCGUUAAGUGUUCCGCCUGGGGAGUACGCACGCAAGUGUGAAACUCAAAGGAAUUGACGGGGGCCCGCACAAGCGGUGGAGUAUGUGUUUAAUUCGAUGCACGCGAGAUCUUACCAGGGCUUGACAUCCUGCGAACUUUAGAAUUAGAGGGUGCCUUCGGGACGCAGUGACAGUGUGCAUGCUGUCGUCAGCUCGUGUCGUGAGAUGUGGUAGUCCCGCACGAGCGCAACCCACGUUUUUAUUGCAGCAUCAGUGGGCACUCUAGAAAGACGCCGGUGAUAAUCGCAGAAAGAUUGAUGAGUCAGCAUCAUGGCCUUAUUCCUGGGGUACACGUCUAUAAUGGGUACGGGAAAAGGGCGCC